GCGCCUUUGGUGCAAGGUAACACACGUCUUUCUGCUUUGUUGCAAAGAAAGAUUUGAGACGAGUCCGGGGUUCGAUUCCCCGAGGGUGCA
Molecule: non-coding RNA, 90 nt
Organism: Mycena olivaceomarginata
Lineage: Eukaryota; Fungi; Basidiomycota; Agaricomycetes; Agaricales; Mycenaceae
Source: the annotation of a GenBank genome assembly